AUGCCCAGCGCCGCUCGUCGUUGUCCGCCAGGAUUCUGUGCCCCGCCGAGUUCCCUGCUACGUCGCUGGAGCUCCAUUCUCGUGCCCAGAUCUGCCGGAUCCCGUAGACCCAGUCCCUUCCAGCCGGUCCUCGCCGGAGCCCUCGCCGGUCUUCCCGGCAUCACUGGCCUCCCCUGCAUCAUGCAUCGAGGAGGAGAAGAACGCAUGCAACUAGUGCCUCCGCUCACCUGCGUUGACCCGAGCGUUGCGAUGGCCUGCCUCCUUGCCUCGAUCCGGCCCAACACCCCCCAAGCCCGCCAGCGCCAGAUCGAACCAAGGCCCAGCUGCAACCCAGCGUGCCUCCUCUUCACCGAAUUGGGCCAGGCCCAGGUGUUUCUUCUUCGGGUUGGAUCCGAUAACGUCACGUUUGUGAGGUUUCGUUUGACUUCGUCUGCUUGUCUUCUUCAUGGACUCGUUCUUCUUCCUUGCGGGAUUUCAGGUGCCGUUGAACCGUGA
RNAcentral lists this ribosomal RNA (495 nucleotides) under Triticum aestivum (bread wheat). RNAcentral's name for it is "partial small subunit ribosomal RNA". Lineage: Eukaryota; Viridiplantae; Streptophyta; Magnoliopsida; Poales; Poaceae. The record is from RNAcentral.